CCUACGGGAGGCAGCAGUGGGGAAUAUUGGACAAUGGGCCACAAGCCUGAUCCAGCAAUUCUGUGUGCACGAUGAAGGUCUUCGGAUUGUAAAGUGCUUUCAGUAGGGAAGAAUAAAUGACGGUACCUACAGA
This 133-nucleotide ribosomal RNA is filed under the name uncultured bacterium. RNAcentral's name for it is "partial 16S ribosomal RNA". It matches the Rfam family "Bacterial small subunit ribosomal RNA", at positions 338 to 485 of the family's 1533-position model. The record is from RNAcentral.